UCCCUGGUGGCUUAGAGGGUAAAGCGUCCGCCUGCAAUGUGGGAGGAUCCAGGUUCAAUCCCUGAGUCGGGAA
Bos taurus (domestic cattle) is the source of this 73-nucleotide non-coding RNA. The record is from Rfam. Lineage: Eukaryota; Metazoa; Chordata; Mammalia; Artiodactyla; Bovidae.